GAAUUUUGGACAAUGGGCGAAAGCCUGAUCCAGCAAUGCCGCGUGCAGGAUGAAGGCCUUCGGGUUGUAAACUGCUUUUGUACGGAACGAAAAGCUUUGGGUUAAUACCCUGGAGUCAUGACGGUACCGUACGAAUAAUCCUCGGACCACUCCGUGCCAGCUGCCGCGGUAAUACGUAGGGUGCAAGCGUUAAGCGGAAUUACUGGGCGGAAAGCGUGCGCAGGCGGUUUUGUAAGACAGAGGUGAAAUCCCCGGGCUCAACCGGGGAACGGCCUUUGUGACUGCAAGGCUAGAGUACGGCAGAGGGGGGUGGAAUUCCGCGUGUAGCAGUGAAAUGCGUAGAUAUGCGGAGGAACACCGAUGGCGAAGGCAACCCCCUGGGCCUGUACUGACGCUCAUGCACGAAAGCGUGGGGUGCAAACAGG
This 425-nucleotide ribosomal RNA is filed under the name uncultured bacterium. Its description in RNAcentral is "partial 16S ribosomal RNA". It matches the Rfam family "Bacterial small subunit ribosomal RNA", at positions 359 to 776 of the family's 1533-position model. The record is from RNAcentral.